RNAcentral lists this transfer RNA (74 nucleotides) under Streptomyces phage BillNye. RNAcentral describes it as "tRNA-Gln". It matches the Rfam family "tRNA". Rfam says of the family: Transfer RNA (tRNA) molecules are approximately 80 nucleotides in length. Their secondary structure includes four short double-helical elements and three loops (D, anti-codon, and T loops). The record is from RNAcentral. Lineage: Duplodnaviria; Heunggongvirae; Uroviricota; Caudoviricetes; Stanwilliamsviridae. RNAcentral also lists the same sequence under 1 other name.
UCCCCUGUGCUCUGUCGGUUGGGCAACCGGACUUUGAAUCCGGCCUACGCAGGUUCGAGCCCUGCCAGGGGAGC